UACGGAGGUGGCAAGCGUUGUUCGGAUUUACUGGGUGUAAAGGGCAUGUAGGUGGUUGGAAAAGUCCCAAUUGAAAUACUUCGGCUCAACCGGAGAAGUGGUUGGGAAACUCUCUGACUUGAGUUCGGGAGAGGAGAAUGGAAUUCCCGGUGUAAAGGUGAAAUUUGUAGAGAUCGGGAGGAACACCAGUGGCGAAGGCGAUUCUCUGGCCCGAAACUGACACUGAAAUGCGAAAGCUAGGGGAGCAAACAGGAUUAGAUACCCGCGUA
RNAcentral lists this ribosomal RNA (269 nucleotides) under uncultured prokaryote. RNAcentral describes it as "partial 16S ribosomal RNA". It matches the Rfam family "Bacterial small subunit ribosomal RNA", at positions 524 to 792 of the family's 1533-position model. The record is from RNAcentral.